RNAcentral lists this long non-coding RNA (370 nucleotides) under Salvia miltiorrhiza (redroot sage). Its description in RNAcentral is "long non-coding RNA (SMIL_LNC003045)". The record is from RNAcentral. Lineage: Eukaryota; Viridiplantae; Streptophyta; Magnoliopsida; Lamiales; Lamiaceae.
UUUUGUGGAUGAUAAUUAAGACAUUAUAUAAGUUAUUACAUCAGUGCAUGUAAUAAAACUGUGUGCACAAAUGAUGGGUUGCAAAGCCCAUACGCGCGCGCCGCCGCCACCUGCCCGGCCUCGGUCCCCGACCUUGACCGUGGACUUGGAUCUUGGCAAUUGGUUCUUGGGCUGGUCUUUGGGCCUACCCUUAGCUCCCAAAGGACCAACGAUUUCUCGGUCCAAAGAACGAGGCCCAAUCGUUUGGGCCCACACGUGCACAAGGGGCUCGACCCGACGGGAGGACCCGUUGGUCUCCCAACUAGAAGCUUCCACACCUCCAUAACUCGCGUCAUUAUUGGACGUGAGGGAGUUACAACGUAACUGCCGC